This is an RNA transcript of Carassius auratus (goldfish), 5193 nucleotides long. It is a transcript of the gene named dynamin-1-like, with no coding region annotated. The record is from RefSeq and is a predicted model, not a curated record. The transcript is spliced from 25 exons. Lineage: Eukaryota; Metazoa; Chordata; Actinopteri; Cypriniformes; Cyprinidae.
ACCUCGUGUGCGCGCGUGUGUGUGCGCGCUCUGAGAAAAGCAGCUCAUCAUCUCAGAGGGACCGCAGAGAGAGAGAAAGAGAGAGAGAGAGAAAGAGAGAGAUCCAGAAUAAUAAAUGCUGAAAUAAAGCAGCCGGAACCGCAGUUUCUCCGGUGCAGCUCGAGCAGACCCGGUGUGUCGCGAUGGGGAACCGGGGGAUGGAGGACCUGAUCCCGCUGGUCAACCGAAUGCAGGAUGCGUUCGCCGCCAUCGGACAGAACGCGAACCUGGACCUGCCGCAGAUCGCGGUGGUGGGCGGACAGAGCGCCGGGAAAAGCUCCGUGCUCGAGAACUUCGUGGGGAAGGACUUCCUGCCGCGCGGCUCUGGGAUCGUCACCCGCCGACCCCUCGUCCUGCAGCUCAUCAACUGCCCCACAGAAUAUGCCGAGUUCCUCCACUGUAAGGGGAAGAAGUUCACAGACUUCGAUGAGGUGCGUCAGGAGAUCGAGGCGGAGACGGAUCGAGUCACAGGACAGAAUAAAGGCAUUUCUCCCGUGCCCAUCAACCUGCGCGUCUACUCCCCAAACGUGCUGAACCUGACUCUGGUGGAUCUGCCGGGGAUGACUAAAGUGCCGGUGGGAGAUCAGCCCGCAGACAUCGAGCAUCAGAUCAGAGACAUGCUGAUGCAGUUUGUGACCAAAGACAACUGUCUGCUGCUGGCCGUGUCGCCCGCCAACUCUGACCUGGCCAACUCUGACGCCCUGAAGAUCGCCAAAGAAGUCGACCCGCAGGGUCUGAGGACGAUCGGUGUGAUCACUAAGCUGGAUCUGAUGGAUGAAGGGACUGAUGCUCGUGAUAUCCUGGAGAACAAGCUGCUGCCGCUGCGGAGAGGUUACAUCGGUGUGGUGAACCGCAGUCAGAAAGACAUCGACGGGAAGAAGGAUAUUAACGCAGCUAUGGCGGCGGAGAGGAAGUUUUUCCUGUCUCAUCCCGGUUACAGACACCUGGCCGACCGCAUGGGAACGCCGUUCCUGCAGAAAACCCUCAACCAGCAACUGACCAAUCACAUCCGGGACACGCUCCCCGCGCUGCGCACCAAACUGCAGAGCCAGCUGCUGUCCAUCGAGAAGGAAGUGGAGGAAUACAAGAACUUCCGUCCUGACGAUCCGUCCCGGAAGACCAAAGCCCUGCUGCAGAUGGUGCAGCAGUUCUCGGUGGACUUCGAGAAGCGCAUCGAGGGCUCUGGAGAUCAGAUAGACACGUAUGAGCUGUCUGGAGGAGCCAGAAUCAACCGUAUCUUCCACGAGCGCUUCCCGUUCGAGCUGGUGAAGAUGGAGUUCAAUGAGAAGGAGCUGCGGAAGGAGAUCAGCUACGCCAUCAAGAACAUCCACGGCAUCAGAACUGGGCUCUUCACGCCGGACAUGGCCUUUGAGACCAUUGUGAAAAGGCAGAUUGGGAAGAUUAAAGAGCCGUGCCAGAAAUGUGUGGACAUGGUCAUUUCUGAGCUGGUCAAUACUGUUAGACAGUGUACCAAGAAGCUGGCCCAGUAUCCCAUGUUGAGAGAAGAGAUGGAGCGGAUCGUCACGCAGCACAUCCGCGACCGCGAGAGCCGCACUAAACAACAGGUGCUGCUGCUGAUCGACAUCGAGCUGGCGUACAUGAACACCAACCACGAGGACUUCAUCGGGUUUGCCAAUGCUCAACAGAGAAGCAGUCAGAUGAACAAGAAGAAAGCGGCUGGUAAUCAGGGCCAGGAUGAAAUCAUGGUGAUCAGGAAGGGAUGGCUGACCAUCAAUAACAUCGGCAUCAUGAAGGGCGGCGCUAAAGAGUACUGGUUUGUCCUGACGGCCGAAUCUCUGUCCUGGUACAAGGAUGACGAGGAGAAAGAGAAGAAGUACAUGCUGCAGGUGGACAAUCUGAAGUUCAGAGACGUGGAGAAGGGCUUCAUGUCCAGCAAACACAUCUUUGCCCUGUUCAACACCGAGCAAAGGAACGUGUAUAAGGACUACCGUCAGCUGGAGCUGGCCUGUGAGACCCAGGAGGAUGUGGACGGGUGGAAAGCGUCGUUCCUGCGCGCCGGCGUCUAUCCUGAGCGCGUGGUGGAGAAGGAAAAGAGCGACGCUGGAGACGAGAACGGGUCGGACAGCUUCAUGCACUCCAUGGACCCUCAGCUGGAGAGGCAGGUGGAGACCAUCCGAAACCUGGUGGACUCCUACAUGAGCAUCGUCAACAAGACCGUACGAGACCUGAUGCCCAAGACCAUCAUGCAUCUGAUGAUCAAUAAUACGAAGGAGUUCAUCAAUGCGGAGCUGCUGGCUCAGCUGUACUCGUGUGGAGAUCAGAACACGCUGAUGGAGGAGUCGGCUGAACAAGCGCAGCGGCGAGACGAGAUGCUACGCAUGUACCACGCGCUCAGAGAAGCACUCAACAUCAUCGGGGACAUCAGCACCACCACCAUCUCCACCUCUCUGCCUCCACCGGUGGACGACUCCUGGCUCCAGGUGCAGCGCAGCGGCUCAGGAGGAAGGUCUCCGGCGGCCAGCCCGACUCCUCAGAGACGGGCCCCUCCUCCGGGGCCUCCUGCACGCCCAGGCUCUCGUGGCUCCGCCCCAGGGCCCCCUGCAGCUGGAGGGCCACCGGUUCCCUCUCGCCCGGGAGCCUCUCCGGACCCCUUCGGCGGCCCCCCCCCUCAGGUCCCGUCCCGGCCUAACCGUGCUCCUCCCGGCGUGCCCAGAAUUACAAUCAGUGACCAAUGAGGACUAACGCUUCUGCCGACGACCCCCAGCAUCACCUCCUCGACCUUACCGACCCACAGACUCCUCCCUCUUAUACUAGUAGCCCCUCCCACACCCGUGACAGACAGCGAGGACAGACACGCCCACCCCGCCAGAACUCCUCCCCUCCUCUCUCCUCAACUCACACACAAACACACACACACAUCAUACACAGUUAAGCUCAACAACUCAUGAGCCUGACAACAAAAGCUAGAUGAAUGAGCACAGGGUUUGAUAAAUGCAUUUUCAGUUGCUAUAUUUAUUUUCUGUGGUUUUUAAGCUUCUUUUGGCUUUCAGACGCUUGAUUUCCUGCUGUUUAAGGAUGCAUUAUCUCUCCAAAGUGUGAUCUGGAGUCUCACGAUAACUGCAUCUUCUGGAAUGAGCUCGUGUGCAUCUGUAUUUCUGUUCAUUACUUUGGCUCUUCUUGUUUUUGUUUUGUAUGUGUGUUUGGCUGCAGUGGUCCCUGAGCUCACGGGCCAGAAGACGACACCAGACUCCCCGAAGGCCGGUCAACUACAGGUGACCCUUCUCGACCCGAGAGCCCCUUUACUCCACCAGACCCUUAGCAUCAUUUCUUCUUCUGUUUUCCCCACAACCCGAACACGGACACAAGCAAAGGAACAACUUUCAGAUGUUUCCUGCAUCACCCGGUUUGAGAAAUGAGUUUCUCUCUUUGGUUAAACCUCCUUCAAGCUCAUGAUUGUGGAGAUCCAGUAUCACAAACAUCAGACCUUCUAGAAACUCCUCACAUUGUGACCCUACAAAGGGAUCGUCUUUCCACACCUGUAUGAGUUUCUUUCUUCUGUGGAACACUAAAGAAAAUGUUUUGAAGAACUAAAUGGUCUCCAGGUCCAUUGACUUCCAUUGUAGGGACAAACAGUCCUGUUGGAAGUCAAUGGAGCUCAAAACUGUUUGGUUCCCAACAUUCUAAAAAAAAUAUUGAAGUUGUUUAUUCCCCACAUUGCAAAAAAAAGAAAAAAAAAGUAUUUUUUGUGUAAAAAGAUAUUUACUGGAAAACCAGACAAAAGUAUUGUUAUAGUUUUUGUUUUGUUUUGUUAUUUUACAGUGCAGAUGUAUAAGUACGAGGACGUGUGUUCACCUUCAGGUGAUUGUGCUCAGAAAACAUUCAUUCAUUAGUGAAUCUGAACCUUCGGUGGGGCUGGAUUGAAUUAGAGAGUGCAAUAUAUUCACCGGUCAGUCGUACAGUAUCACACUGACCACACCUUCAUGUCAUUUAAACACAAAUAGUGCAGUUUCAGGGUGAACAGACGUUCUCGAGUUCAGUGAGAUGCUUGUGCGUGUACAAUUCAUUUAAUAAGGUGAGACUAAUGCUGAAGACUGGUGAGCGUUGUCCAGAUGAUCAUGUCCAGAUGGUUUUGUUUGGAAUUGAACACCUGCUGUACAGUAUAUAGGCUACUGUGUAACAAACAGCAUGUGAAAGUGCACUAUUCGAUGCUAAACAGAAGUAUACAACAUUGCAUGUUUAAUUCAGCAAGCUGCGUCCAGUUAUUUUUUCCAUUUUUAAUUCUCAAAUCUGCACAUUUUUGGUCAUUAGGGUAUUCAUACAGAACAUCUGCAUACUGUGCAUAGUGUACAUACUAUAUUCUGCAGAAACAGUGACAGUAGGAUGAUAUUCUGAACAUGUGUAUGAUUAAAGGUGCUGUAAGCAAUGUUUAGUUUCCACCACGUCAAUCAAACCACUUUUUUGGCAAUCAAAAAUAGUUUAAAGCACCUUUAAACAUCACCGAUGGACAUCUUUUCACGUGUGCGUGGACUUUCCCCCGUGCAUUAGAAAUUAUGCAACGUUAUCUCAAGUCUAGGGUUCAUUAUGAAAAUCAAAAGAAAUGUUAAGCUUCAAUGCUGGUCUAUGCAUAGAAAUCACUUUAGUUCAGAUGUUGUUUUGUUGAAAGUGAGAAAAUAUGAGCGCAACCCUCCGUAACGGUGGACUGUAAUUCUGUUGUUUGUUGUAAUAUUAAUCAUAAUUAUAAAGAUGAUGAAGCCCGUUGCUAAUAGUUGACGUUGUGGCAUGACCAGACUGUCUGCGGUUUUAAUUGUACCGUAUCUGUAGUGUUUCCGUCCUCGACAUUCACUGCAAACCUUCCCUGAGUCUUAGUAAACCCACGAACCAGCAAAGGUUUCUGGAUGUUUAAGAGUUAAAGCGUUUGUCAUGGACUGACUGUAUCUUGAGUGUGGCGUAUAUUUGUGGUGCAUUGUGCUUCCACUGUUUAGACACUAGUCCAUGUGUGAUUACUGGAUGUUAAAUUAUUAUGGGUAAGCGAUGUAUUUAAAUUAAGCUAUUGAGAUGGAGUGUGUGGAGGAAUAAAGCAGGCCUCUUUCUGUGUUUGGACACAAAGGUGUAUUAAUGCUCUGUGUGUGUCGUGUCCUGCUGUGUCUCUGCUUGGGCAGGACGUCGUCAUCAAUAAAGAUCCGUGUACCAAAA